This 2165-nucleotide long non-coding RNA is filed under the name Homo sapiens (human). RNAcentral's name for it is "non-protein coding lnc-ANXA2R-1:32". The record is from RNAcentral. Lineage: Eukaryota; Metazoa; Chordata; Mammalia; Primates; Hominidae.
CUCAGAUCGGCGACCUGAGUGCUGUCGCCCCGAGAAAAUGGAGGCAUCGAGCAACGAGCUGUGCUGAGACCGAGAGACCUCAGUUCUGCGAAAUGUCGGUGCCUGGAGCUUGCGAAUGACUGCGGCCGGCGGGUUGUCAAGGACAACAUUCCUUAUGGCGCAACCAACAGCGCUGUCACCAAGAAACUGGACUCUGAGAAAAAAGAGGGUUUCGGCCACCGAGAAACUCCGUGCCACAUGUGCCGUGACAGCAAAACCGCCCGCUCCGCGCCGCUGGUGAAAGAGCUAACGAACGCCAGGUGCUGCGACAGUGACACCGGGACUAGAAGGCCUCGGAUGGAGAAUGGGACGCCCAGAGCAAGCAGGAAAACGUUUUGUUUGGCUCAACUAGCGCUGUCGCAACCGGAAAACUGUCAGGCCAGUGCUGCUGCGGAUGUGAGAAACCGGUGAUCCGAAGGCGGAGUGGCGCUGGGCGCUGGACUCGCUGGUGUGAAAAUCUGGCUGCUCUAGGACCCGGCAAGCGCGGGCACCAGGCGAACGCCAGCGACUUUGCCAGACAAAUGCAUGUCUUUUUUGGUCGCCAUUCAAAGAUGCAGCCGGCAGUCAGCCCCGGCUCUGAGAAACAAGUGGAGGUGUCAGCCAUAAACCCUCCGUUCAGGGAAAAGAGAGUCGCUGCGACGGAUCGACUGGCCGUUGGGUGGAACUUUCUUUGGUGGCCUAGUGACUAGAAAAUAAAAACGAAAACGAAAUAAAAAACUGCUACUGACAUUACUCCCACGCUCCCUCCUCAAGUCAGUGGCUUCAGGCUUAAGAAAACCUGUAUUUUUCUUGGCUGAUCCGUGAUCCCUAAUUACUGAGGGCCCCGCGACCCACCAAGUGCGAUUCGCAGAGGGAAAGGAGCUGGAAUAAGGAUCCAGAAUGGGACGGAUUUGGCUCCUCCAGGAAGAAAGCAAAACAAAUGCAGGUCGCGAACACUUUACAUUGCAGGAAGCUGCUCUUCCAGUGGCCGCGGCUGGGUCCUUCCACACCACCUCUCUGUCCUAGGCCUUCGUCCCGGUUCAGCCCUCACGGAUUCUAGGCUAGCGGUCAACAACCGCAUCCCUCCGGAACCUGGAAACUCUAGGUCCGAGAUCUCGGUGAAGAAUGAAAGGCACAGCGCCGCUCAACCCAGGCUUCAGGCCUGCCCCGCUGGUCCCGUCCCUUCCCUGUGGGAUGGAACUCUGUGGGAAUCGCUCCUUAUUCUGAUGGUUCACUCAUUCAGAUGUCCUUGAUAUUUGGGGAUAUUUCUAAAACAGCUGGGGAGAAAAAUGGACUGCGAGGCUCCGGUGUUGGACGUGAAAUUGGCAGUGAGACAUCCGCCUCUAAGCCCAGGGAAAAGCUUAAAUUGUGGUUCUCUGUCUCUAGCACCGUGAUCUUUGAAAUGCGUUAUUGAUUUUCUUCUUUCUUCUGGGAAAUGCAAUGCAGGUGAACUUUACUAUCCUUUUCUGGGGGAUCCUAGGCAGAAGCGAUGGCAGGACAAAGGCAGAGAAGGCACUGCCAGGUCCUGCAUGCCAGUAAAACUACUCAUGUCAGCUGUUCUGCAGGAUCCCAUGAGAAGGUGAGUCACCAGAAAAUGCAGUUUCCACAUCCUGAUGAUUUCAUCUCCCUACCCCAACUGAUCAAUUUCUCCAAUUUUCCAGCCUCUCACCCUCCACAAUCCCCUUAAAAACUGUAGCCCAGAACUCUCUGGAAUGAUGAAUUUGAAGGUUUGCUCCUGUCUCCUCACUCAGAAGCCUGUAAUCAUUAAACUCUUUCUCUGAUGCAAACUCUGCUGUCUCAGUGUAAUUGGUAUGUAAGUGUGCAGCAGGCAUAUGAAUCUGUUGGUCCUGUAACAGUUGGGAUGCAGUGGCACAAUUGUAGCUCACUGUAAUCUCUACCUCCUACACCUAAGGGAACCUUACCACCUCAGCACUCGGAAUAGCUAGGACUUUAGGUCUGUGUGCUACCACCCAUGGCUAAUUUAUAAAAUAAUUUCUUUGUAGAGACAGGAUCUUUCUAUAUAGCCUGGGCUGGUCUCAAACUCCUGGCCUCAAGGUAUCCUCCCCACUCUGCAUCACAAAGAGCUGUCAUUACAUGUGUGAGAUACCAUACCCUGCCCAUGGUAGAAUAUUAACACAUGGGUGUGA